This is a long non-coding RNA of Musca domestica (house fly), 604 nucleotides long. RefSeq lists it as uncharacterized. NCBI's taxonomy places the organism in Eukaryota, Metazoa, Arthropoda, Insecta, Diptera, Muscidae. The transcript is spliced from 2 exons. The record is from RefSeq and is a predicted model, not a curated record.
UCCUAAGAACUAUAACCUAUCUUAUUACUAAAUCUUUAUACUGAAUAUUAUAUUUUUUUUCUCGAAAUUUAUGAUUAUUAACUCUUUUUUUCUUUUCUUUUAGUUCCAAAAAAGGAGACAGCAAAUUUUAUGGACGUCACAUAUAUAUAUAAAUAUAUCUAUCAAGGACAACACAACGUUUACGCUUCUUUCCGGAGGAAACAGAUUUUGAACGCCAGGCAAACCCUGAAAUGAAGCUGGACUUGUUGACUGGUCCUUUUACAAUGCCGGCGUUCUGGGCGGGAUCAAUAACAGGCACAGCAAAAAGCUCAAAGUUGCAGCUGGCCAGUUUACAAUUCAAAUCUCCACACCCUCAAUGUAACUUUUUUUGGCUUUUUUCUCCUGUGGACAACUUGCCACUACCUUGCGUUACCAAAAAGAAAAGGCAAUUUCCCGCCGUUGUGCUGACCAAAACCGGACAAUUUUCGGUGCUUCCAAAAAAGCUUGAUACACCACCGGAAUAUUCCUGUUGGAGCAACACACAUCACAUAUAACAACACAUUACUCAACAAACCACUGUUACAAACUACUUACACAAUAAAAAAAUCGCAACACACAAAUUAAA